RNAcentral lists this long non-coding RNA (656 nucleotides) under Gigantopelta aegis. RNAcentral describes it as "uncharacterized LOC121381366, transcript variant X2". The record is from RNAcentral. Lineage: Eukaryota; Metazoa; Mollusca; Gastropoda; Neomphalida; Peltospiridae.
GAGGUUUGCAGGUGACUUUACUUAAAAACGACGUAUCUAAUUUAUAUCACUUCUAAACGACGUUGCAGUUUAUUGGAAUAUUUACUUUUGAUAUUUACGUACCGGUAUGUUAAAAGUGUGUUCAAGGAAAUGAAAGUAACGCUUGACAGCGUUUGGUGUGUACCCGUCAGAUGACACUGGUGGAAACGGAAAUACCAAAUUGAUCCAAUGAAGGGCCAGGGGGAUCGAUCCUGAAACCUACCACUGCACUUGAUACUUUAUUCUAAUUACCGAAUAACCAUUGCUGCACUGCAGUACAAAUCAUUUUACUCGUUGUUUCCUACCCAUACUUUAUUUUUUAAUUAAGUUGUAUGCGUAUGGCUUGUCGAUUUAGAGUGGACGGUGGGGGUGGAGCUGUGAAUUGAAAAUUGGCGCAAACGAUGUAUGGGUUACGCAAAGACAAAUGUGUGUUUUUCAUUACGUGUUUACAUCACCCGUCAUAGAGUAUGGGUAGAAAGCACAACGAGAAAAACGAUUUGUAAAUAAUGUUUUACAUGUAAUGCGCGAACGAAAAAUAGGUGAUCUGCGCGUGCAACGCGCGAACGAAACUAUCGUUCUCGCAAUCAAUUUUCAAGGGCCUGUUUAACCAUCUUGUUUUAAUACAAAUCGUACAUCAC